RNAcentral lists this unclassified non-coding RNA (387 nucleotides) under soil metagenome. RNAcentral's name for it is "partial contains 5.8S ribosomal RNA, internal transcribed spacer 2, and large subunit ribosomal RNA". The stretch from base 1 to 120 matches the Rfam family "5.8S ribosomal RNA", at positions 35 to 154 of the family's 154-position model. The record is from RNAcentral.
GAUGAAGAACGCAGCGAAAUGCGAUAAGUAAUGUGAAUUGCAGAAUUCAGUGAAUCAUCGAAUCUUUGAACGCACCUUGCGCUCCUUGGUAUUCCGAGGAGCAUGCCUGUUUGAGUGUCAUGAAAUUCUCAACCUUUUCAGCUUUCUUUGUUGAUCAGGUUUGGAUGUGGGAGUAUGCGGGCUUCUCAGAAGUCGGCUCUCCUGAAAUGCAUUAGCGGGACCUUUGUUGCCUGGCUUUGGUGUGAUAAUUAUCUACGCCAUUGUGGUCAAGCAGCUUAAAAUGAGGUUUCAGCUUCUAACCGUCUCCCCUGAGACAACUUUUUGACAAUUUGACCUCAAAUCAGGUAGGACUACCCGCUGAACUUAAGCAUAUCAAUAAGCGGAGGA